AGUGAACGCUGGCGGUAGGCCUAACACAUGCAAGUCGAACGGCAGCACAGGAGAGCUUGCUCUCUGGGUGGCGAGUGGCGGACGGGUGAGGAAUACAUCGGAAUCUACUCUGUCGUGGGGGAUAACGUAGGGAAACUUACGCUAAUACCGCAUUCGACCUACGGGUGAAAGCAGGGGACCUUCGGGCCUUGCGCGAUUGAAUGAGCCGAUGUCGGAUUAGCUAGUUGGCGGGGUAAAGGCCCACCAAGGCGACGAUCCGUAGCUGGUCUGAGACGAUGUUCAGCCACACUGGAACUGAGACACGGGCCAGACUCCUACGUGAGGCAGCAGUGGGGAAUAUUGGACAAUGGGCGCAAGCCUGAUCCAGCCAUACCGCGUGGGUGAAGAAGGCCUUCGGGUUGUAAAGCCCUUUUGUUGGGAAAGAAAUCCAGCUGGCUAAUACCCGGUUGGGAUGACGGUACCCAAAGAAUAAGCACCGGCUAACUUCGUGCCAGCCGCCGCGGUAA
Molecule: ribosomal RNA, 506 nt
Filed under: uncultured bacterium
Lineage: Bacteria
Description: partial 16S ribosomal RNA
Rfam family: Bacterial small subunit ribosomal RNA
Source: RNAcentral